Long non-coding RNA from Ooceraea biroi (clonal raider ant), 2072 nucleotides. RefSeq lists it as uncharacterized. NCBI's taxonomy places the organism in Eukaryota, Metazoa, Arthropoda, Insecta, Hymenoptera, Formicidae. The record is from RefSeq and is a predicted model, not a curated record.
UGUCGGCCUUGCGACGCUCGUGCCGCCGCAACGAAAUGAUACCCGACGCGAUGCAUUUUCGUGUGUAAAUUAUUUCCACUGUUCAAUUCAGAAAAUCACGUGAAAUGUCGAACAAUGUUUGCGGCAACUGAACGUGCCUCGUCACAUGUUAUUUUCGAAACGAUUCACCGAGUCGCAUCGAUUAAGGAGAGACACCCCGUAUACGGAUGCUUGAUAAAUGCACAUCCCGAUGCACUUAUCUUUGCGCAAUCCGCGACUUGCGGACUGCCUCGACAGAUGUCGCUAGACAUCUGUAAAGAACAACGUUUUGUCUUCUUGUUGUCUCAUUGUUGUCUUGUUGUUACAGCAAGUGUAGAAUUGUGCGCGCGUUUAUUGAGAAAAGGAUUUGCAUUUUCGCUUGCAAUAGACAGCUACGAUUUUUUUUUAAUUUGCUCACGUUUUUCCACACUGUCCCGUGAUAAUUUAUUUAAUGCAGAGAAUAUCAGGGAAGUGUUGUAGUUUAGAUUUAUAUAAAUAUAUUUUUGUCUACGUUUUUAACACGUUAUAUCUCACGUUAUGUAAGAAGUUGUUGGAAAUUAUGCGUCAACACGCGAUUAAGAGUAAACGGCGAGUAAGAAGGAUUCCCACUUAGCGCGAUAUGAAUAAUGCACAGAGCUACAAUGUGUCGUUCGUCACGUCCAUAAAAAUCAGGCAAGAAUUAUUUAAUUACUACUAGUACAGAGUCUAUUUAAAAUUUCGAAUAUUAUUUGCAAAACCUGAAUUGCAGUUUAGAAAAAACGUCUUUUUUUUCUCUCUCAUUUAUUUUAUUGUACAAAUUCUGUCUCGUUUAUUUCUAUCAUUUUAAACUUCGUAAAUUGAAAUCACGUGAGGAAGACAAAUAUACAAAUAAGUAACAAUUUUUCUGUUUUUCAAAAGUUCAAAGAGAAAGACAGAAGAAUGUCAACAUCACUGAAGUCAGUUUCGAACGUUGUUUUUCGCGAAGACGUCAGUCUCGUUUCCAUGGCGAACGGAGGGAACUGCCGCGAGAAUGGCCAUGAGAGUGAGAAGGCAGCCCACCGCAACCCCCGGGUCGAUAAUCUGCCACCCUCGCGAAGGAGUAGUUUGUUCGCGACGUUGCUCGUCGACAGUCGAUCGGUCAGUUGGUCGGUCGGUCAGUUGAUUCAUUAGUUGCAUGUCGGCGUUACAUGGGACACCAAUUGUCAAGGCUGUUAUCACGGGUCUUCUUUCCAGACCUGAGACCUCGCAGCGGCAUGGUACCGCAUCCUCUUCGUUCUGCAACCUUGGGUAACCGCGUCAUCUCGCAAACGCCGUGAAACGUGAAAUUCAACAAGGAGCUGCAAGAACGGAUAAUCUCGCGCGUCUCUUUUUGACCGUUAAUCGCGAAAUGAUUGCUUGCUUCAUUUUGGACGCGAGAAAAGGAUCAUAGUCGCAUCAUAGUCUGACAAUGUGAAACAAAGUAUUUGAAAUGCUCGAGGCAACGCGGUUCAAGUAGUGAAGUUCGAAAUCGUCGGGGACGAUUUCCGACUUUCGAAACACAGUAUACAAGAGACGAUGUUAAAAUAGAAUGAUGCGUUGCGGCGCAGCCGGAUUGUUGGGUUGUUGGUCGUUCAUUCAGCAUUGCGGCACGACUUGACAUCAUCGUUCGGAUUUCGGUGAGAUACCAGAAGACGUGCCAGAAGGCGACGACGACCAAGAUGACGAUGACAAUCGCGGAUGCUACUGGGUGUCGCCUGGUAUCUCCGGAACCGAAAUAGAGCGGGCGUACGGUGGUUUCGACGCCGUUUCAAGGACGCGGACACGCGAGUAGGAAACACGCAAAGCGUAUUUCCCUGAAAAGUGAACUUCACUUUCGCUGUUGGUCGAUCGAUAAGAAGCCGUCGUGAUGACGGCUCGAUAAGGAUAAUCCACGUGGAUUUUCACGAAAAAACAACCGUCACGCGAUUACUUAUAAUGCGAGCGAUUUGUCUUAUUUCUGAAAAUCGAGGUCGGAUUCAUGUGAACGAAGGUGAUGCAGAGUGACGUUGUCUCCUGUAUGAAGAAGAAGAAUCAUGAAAUUAUCAUUCAAUUUUUAA